This is an RNA transcript of Carassius gibelio (silver crucian carp), 3054 nucleotides long. It is a transcript of the gene named homeobox protein Hox-C5a, with no coding region annotated. Lineage: Eukaryota; Metazoa; Chordata; Actinopteri; Cypriniformes; Cyprinidae. The transcript is spliced from 4 exons. The record is from RefSeq and is a predicted model, not a curated record.
AUUAGAGCUAGUGAAACAGGAGAAAAACAUAUUUGUCAUAAAGCCUAUGUAACUACUGUGAUAAUCGUAUAGGCCUACUCCAUGUUUUUCAUAUUGCCUUGUCAUUUAAUGUGUCAUAGCAUCGUACUGCAUGGUAUCUUGUCCAUCAUCCUGUUUGAACAAGUGUGUGCGCGCGCGCGCGCGUGUGUGUGAGAGAGAGACCGCUCUGUCCAGUAUUAGACGCCAGAUGACGCUCUUGUCUAACGGUCUCUGCCUUUUCAGCCCAGACCCUUGCAUGAUUUCAAUACCGAGAAGUUAUCGGACACGUUCCCCUAUCUAUCAAUAACCUCCUGGGGAUCAAGCCAAUUUAUGAGUGGCCAGGAGCUGCACGUGAUUCUAGUUAAACAUUCCAUAUUUGGGCAUUACGCGUCGUAUCAAGAAAAAAGGAAAUGAUUUCCUCCACCUAUAAAUCGUGCUCUUUUUUUUAAGGACAAGCCUAACGUCCUCUAGAAAUACAAAUAAAGCCCAAUAAACAAAUUAAACUUCUUAACAACUUAUGUUCACCUUCUUAGCUGACUCAGUCUCUGCCGUGACCGAGUGCUUUUUGUGAGUCUCUUCAAGGUUAUAUUGUUUUGGGGAAAAGAAUGAGCUCAUACGUUGGAAAGUCUUUUUCUAAGCAAACGCAAGACGCCUCCUCUUGUAGAAUGCACACUUUUGGCAACUAUGGAGCUCACUCUGAGUUCCACGAGUCCAAUUACGCGUACGAAGGACUUGAUCUCGGCGGAUCGUUCAGUGCUCAGAUCCCCUCCAACUCUUUGAAACGGGAGGCGAUAAACACAACCGAGCGUGCAAGGAGCAGUGCAGCAGUUCAGCGAACACAGUCCUGUUCAGCUCUGGGCUCGCGUAGCUUUGUAGGCACUCAGGGGUACAACCCCCUCAGUCACGGACUGUUGAGCCAAAAAGCCGAGGGGAAUAUGGAAGUUAUGGAGAAGCCCAGUGGCAAGAGCCGAACAGACGAUGUCAAAAUGGAGACUAAUUCAGCGAUAAAGCAACAAAGUAACUCGACUCAGCGUCAGAACCAGUCGCAGGCGCAGAUAUAUCCGUGGAUGACAAAGCUACACAUGAGCCACGGUAAAGCGCAUAAGGAAAUUGUGAACGUGAGGGCAAGGAGGACCUCAGCGUUGCACUGGAGAGCAGUUCUGCAUGGAGACAACAUGCUGAAGAAAAUUCAUCAAAACAUUAUGAAGGCCAUAUGUGGAACUUUCAAAAAAUCUCUCAACCUCCUAUUCAUUCUCUGCUGGUGUCAACCAGUCCACGAAUGAAACGACGAACUCAUUGGACCAGGCGAAUGCAAAGGAAAGAGAUGAAGGGUGCAAGCAGUCAACUUCCUGCUUUCCACCAAAGUAGCCUUGGAUGAGAGAAACACAUACACCUAUAAACUUCAGCUCCAUUAACAUCAUGGAAUUAGUUGAUUCCAGGUACAGCAGUGGUGAAGUACAGGAUAGCAGCUGUUCCAACAGUGAACGGGCAUAUGCAGCAUUCACCUCGUCCCAGAAUCCAGCUGUCAGCACUAAAAUAUCACUAAAGCAUGAUUCACAUCAAUGACUGAAUUCUCUUCGAUAACUGAAAUACAAAUUCUUCACAAAAUAUGUGCAUGUUCUGUCACUGACCAGUUUUUCCACCCAUUAUAACUCUCUGACAUGACUUAUAUUUAAGGAAAUUGAAGAUUUAUUUCCCUUAGAUAACGAUUUAUAUGAAAAUGAAAUUUCAAUAGCUAUAUUUGCUCUAAACUGCUCAUGUUAUCAGCUAGUACAUGGUAAAUCAAAGCUAGUUUCCACUGUGCAUUAACUGCUGUAGGAAUAUAUUUGCAAAGCACCAAGAUUUAUUGCGCUUGGAUGCAGGCUCACUUGUACAAUCUCUUCGGCACAGAAAAUAAAAUUUAAAAAGGGCUUUCAAGACUUUGAAUCGUCAUUAACAUCCCCUCAUGUUUUGUAACAACAUAUUUUUAUUGCUCUCAGAAUUAUAUGUUAUUUUUCACACAGAAUGUGAUGAAACUUUUAACUUGGAAUGUUUUUGAUUAUAAUGGCCAGAAAUCUUAAAAUAUUCAAACCAUGUUGAAUUCCAAAGAUUUGUUCUCUUACUGACUAUGCUCUACUCUGAGUAUGACUUUACACAAAGUUCUGUUUUCCUGUUGAUACUGAAAGUAUACUGAAUUUAUGAUGUUUUGACUGACAAAUGAAUAAAGCAACAAAACAGAAUUAAUUUACUGUCACAAUAUUAAGUCAAUGUCAGAAUUCUUGCUUUGAUAAUGUUUUGAUUUGAUUUGACCUAUUCAUGUAGACUCAAGUGUGAACAAGAAAGAGCUGCAAUGUGAAAUAUGUAUAUAUUUCUAGAUCUUGCUACUUCUAUAGUAAUUUGGUCAUAUCAGGUGAAAAAACAUGCAUUUUGUUGCUUAAAAUCUAAUUAAAUCUCCCUGGGGUGCAUUUCCCAAAACCAUAGUUGCUAACCUGUUAGCAACUUAGUUGGUUGGCAAUGGGAAAUUGCAUUGCAACCAACAAAGUGGGGAAGUCAUGGCCUAAUGGUUAGAGGGUUGGACUCCCAAUCGAAGGGUUGUGAGUUCUAGUCUCGGGCCGGACGGAAUUGUGGGUGGGGGAGUGCAUGUACAGUUCUCUCUCAACCUUCAAUACCAUGACUUAGGUGCCCUUGAGCAAGGCAUCGAACCCCAACUGCUCCCUGGGUGCCGCAGCAUAAAUGGCUGCCCACUGCUCCAGGUGUGUGCUCACAGUGUGUGUGUGUGUUCAUUGCUCUGUGUGUGUGCAUUUCGGAUGGGUUAAAUGCAGAGCACAAAUUCUGAGUAUGGGUCACCAUACUUGGCUGAAUGUCACUUCACUUCACUCACUUUCACUUCACUUCAAAGUUGCUAACUUAGUUAGCAAUUAUGGUUUUGGCAAACGCACCCCUGGAUAGUUAAUAAAGGUGACUGUAUUGCAUGUAAAUGACAAUGUUGUCAUUCUUGUUUUUUCAGAUCUUCUUUGUUAGUUUGGUUAAAAAUAAUAAUAAAACGGCUGAGAACAA